RNAcentral lists this ribosomal RNA (199 nucleotides) under uncultured bacterium. Its description in RNAcentral is "partial 16S ribosomal RNA". It matches the Rfam family "Bacterial small subunit ribosomal RNA", at positions 328 to 539 of the family's 1533-position model. The record is from RNAcentral.
ACGCUCGACACCUACGGGAGGCAGCAGUUGGGAAUAUUGGACAAUGGAGGAAACUCUGAUCCAGUGACGCCGCGUGAAGGAAGAAGGUCUUCGGAUUGUAAACUUAUUUUGUCAGGGAAGAAAAAUGACUGUACCUGAAGAAAAAGCACCGGCUAACUACGUACCAGCAGCCGCGGUAAUCUGAGCGGGCUGGCAAGGC